RNAcentral lists this ribosomal RNA (1391 nucleotides) under uncultured prokaryote. RNAcentral's name for it is "partial 16S ribosomal RNA". It matches the Rfam family "Bacterial small subunit ribosomal RNA". The record is from RNAcentral.
AGAGUUUGAUCCUGGCUCAGGAUGAACGCUAGCGGCAGGCCUAAUACAUGCAAGUCGAACGGUAAGGUCUCUUCGGAGAUACACGAGUGGCGCACGGGUGCGGGUGCGUAACGCGUAUGCAACCUACCUUUAACUGGAGGAUAGCCCGAAAAAAUUCGGAUUAAUACCCCAUAAUAUAUGUCUUUCGCAUGUUAGAGUUCUUAAAGCUCCGGCGGUUAAGGAUGGGCAUGCGUCCUAUUAGUUAGUUGGUGAGGUAACGGCUCACCAAGACUCCGAUAGGUAGGGGGCCUGAGAGGGUUGUCCCCCACACUGGUACUGAGACACGGACCAGACUCCUACGGGAGGCAGCAGUGAGGAAUAUUGGUCAAUGGACGAAAGUCUGAACCAGCCAUGCCGCGUGCAGGAUGAAUGCCCUACGGGUUGUAAACUGCUUUUAUAUAGGAAGAAACCCGAGAACGUGUUCUCGGCUGACGGUACUAUAAGAAUAAGGACCGGCUAACUCCGUGCCAGCAGCCGCGGUAAUACGGAGGGUCCAAGCGUUAUCCGGAUUCAUUGGGUUUAAAGGGUCCGUAGGCGGGAAAAUAAGUCAGUGGUGAAAUCUUCCAGCUCAACUGGGAAACUGCCAUUGAUACUGAUGUUCUUGAGUUUGGUUGAAGUAAGCGGAAUGAGGCAUGUAGCGGUGAAAUGCAUAGAUAUGCCUCAGAACACCGAUCGCGAAGGCAGCUUACUAAGCCAAUACUGACGCUGAGGCACGAAAGCGUGGGGAGCAAACAGGAUUAGAUACCCUGGUAGUCCACGCCGUAAACGAUGAUUACUCGUUGCUAGCGAUACACUGUUAGUGACUAAGCGAAAGUGUUAAGUAAUCCACCUGGGGAGUACGAUCGCAAGGUUGAAACUCAAAGGAAUUGACGGGGGCCCGCACAAGCGGUGGAGCAUGUGGUUUAAUUCGAUGAUACGCGAGGAACCUUACCAGGGCUUAAAUGUAGGAAGACCAGUUUGGGAAACCAGAUUUUCUUCGGACGGCCUACAAGGUGCUGCAUGGUUGUCGUCAGCUCGUGCUGUGAAGUGUCGGGUUAAGUCCCAUAACGAGCGCAACCCCUAUUUCUAGUUGCCAGCGGAUAAUGCCGGGGACUCUAGAGAAACUGCCGGUGCAAACCGUGAGGAAGGUGGGGAUGACGUCAAAUCAUCACGGCCCUUACGUCCUGGGCCACACACGUGCUACAAUGGUCGGUACAGAGGGCAGCUACCCCGCGAGGGGAUGCGAAUCUCUAAAGCCGGUCUCAGUUCGGAUCGAAGUCUGCAACUCGACUUCGUGAAGCUGGAAUCGCUAGUAAUCGCGCAUCAGCCAUGGCGCGGUGAAUACGUUCCCGGGCCUUGUACACACCGCCCGU